This 132-nucleotide long non-coding RNA is filed under the name Anolis carolinensis (green anole). RNAcentral's name for it is "lncRNA (ENSACAG00000041555.1)". The record is from RNAcentral. Lineage: Eukaryota; Metazoa; Chordata; Lepidosauria; Squamata; Anolidae.
AGGAGGAUUCCUCGGCGGCAGCGGCGGGAAAGGAGCGCGCGGGGCGAGCGAGGGAGAAAGCCACUAGAUGUUAUAAGCUGAGCAGUGGAGGAGGCUCUGAGAUGGAGGAGGCCACUAGAUGUUAUAAGCUGA